This 46-nucleotide non-coding RNA is filed under the name Schistosoma mansoni. The record is from RNAcentral. Lineage: Eukaryota; Metazoa; Platyhelminthes; Trematoda; Strigeidida; Schistosomatidae.
UCAUAGUAGAGGAGUCCCAUAAUAGGACGAAACGGCCGUCCAGUGU